AGAAACAUGCUAAAAUCGUAUAGAGCAUUUAUCAUGUUUAGAGUUUUAUUAGUAUAAUUUAAGAAUAUUAUACUUUACUCGUGUAGAUAGUAAUGUGGAAAAUUCAUCUGUAGCCACUUUUACCAAAUCCGAGAACCUCCGUUCUUGUUGACAUUGCGCUUUUCGUUCUCUUGCAAUUCUAGCGACAACCAUGACAGGAGUCCUUCAUGUCGGAAAUGGAGUACAUGGGCUUGGCAUCACAGACUCCGGAGAUGAGAAAUUUGAGGAAGGAAAGGUGUAAUUGUUACACAUUGUAACAAAACUUAUGAAGAAGAAAGGAACAUCCAUGGUUUUGGUUGAUGGUGCAGGGGCUGGUGAUAUAGUAUCUAUCACUGGGUUGGCAACUCCAUCAAUUGCCCCCACAGUGGCAAGUGUGGAGGUUUGUUUUAAGCAUGACCUAGAGCAAUUACUACAGCUGUGUCCCUACUGUCUGCAACAGUCUGCAACAAUCAGUUCUAUUUUGUACAUUGAUACAACUUCUCUUACCCUUGCUCUGCAAGGUAUGUACCAUGGGAUUUCUUUACGCCAGACAUGCUUCUUCUUGCAUUUUGGACAUGCCAUGUAAUACCAUUUUGAACCCUUUACAAUAUCAACAACAAUUGCUUUGAAUGUGAACGUUACUACCUGUUCCAUUUUUUUCCCAGUGUUUUAUUAAUUUGUAUAUCCUGUAAAUAUGUAUGCUUGAAUAUCUCGACUGUGAAGGAAUGUGUGUGCUUCUGCCAAGGAUACUCUAUUGCUGAAGAGCAAUUUUUUCAUGUUUUCUUGCGCUUUUGGCUCUUCUGCUACUGUAUCGGACUCUUCUCGGCAUGUGAUGUCAAUCUUCAUGAAUCUCCUGCGCACUAUGUUGAUGAAACACCCAAUAAUGUCUACAUAACCAUGGUGUUAUAAUGCUAGUUCAAAAGUGGUUGUUAAAUUGUUGAAUGAUUUUGAGGUGCGUAACAGUUAUAAAUACCUGUGCAGUGUGUUUUAUCCCCGCAUCUCUCAUGUAGUUCUUCAAACUCCGUUAGGUUGAAGUUCUACUUUGGGAUAAUUGUAGGACCUUCGACUUCUUUUUCCACUUGUACUUGUGUGAAUGCAUUGAAAGAAAGCUUUCGCUCCUUAGCUAAGGGUCUCUACCGGAGAUUUUAUUUUACGAUCUGGAAGUGUUUUAAUGACACUAUAUUCUGUUCUUUGAGCUUAUCCAUAUGCAUUCUAUAGUGAUUCGGUGUGAUCACAUAGUGGAUUUGGUCGCCCUGUUAUUAUUCAUGUACUUAUUAUUAUGCAUAUUUUGUUUCAAGGCAGGUUAUCAUAAUAUUAAAUGCGGUGUUAAUGUUACUGUUUAGUCGAUGAGGAUCAUGUGAUAGCGUGUAGAGGCUCCCGUCCAUGGAUCCUUGAUUUCCCAGAAGCUGUUGCAUACAAAUAGAAUAGAGAUUCCUGAGAUGUAUCCCUGUGAAUAAGAUUUUCUAAAGGUGUAUCACAUCCAUCUCCAUUGUAUCCUUAUUCAAAUAUGUUGAACAAUAAUUAUUAUUUAUUUAUUUAUUCCCCCUCAUGUAAACAUUAUUUUUUUGAAUGUUAACAACUUAC
Molecule: RNA transcript, 1602 nt
Organism: Papaver somniferum (opium poppy)
Lineage: Eukaryota; Viridiplantae; Streptophyta; Magnoliopsida; Ranunculales; Papaveraceae
Exons: 5
Source: RefSeq, a predicted model, not a curated record